AUGUGCACGAGGAAGCAAGAAGGGGGACUUGGAUUCAGGGACCCGGGAGUUUUCAACCAAGCUUUGCUUGCUAAGCAAGCGUGGAGGUUGCUGCAGUUGCCAAACUCAUUGUGUGCAAGAGUGCUCAAAGCGAGGUACUAUCCAAAUAGCUCCAUACUCAAUGCCACUUGUCCCGAUGGGGGGUCCUUCAUGUUCAGAAGCAUCAUUCACGACCGUGAAUUACUCUUGGAGGGGCUCAUUUGGCGUAUUGGAGAUGGAUCAAGAGUCUGUAUUCAUCAUGACAACUAG
RNAcentral lists this ribosomal RNA (288 nucleotides) under Triticum aestivum (bread wheat). Its description in RNAcentral is "partial small subunit ribosomal RNA". Lineage: Eukaryota; Viridiplantae; Streptophyta; Magnoliopsida; Poales; Poaceae. The record is from RNAcentral.